Molecule: non-coding RNA, 654 nt
Filed under: Pongo abelii (Sumatran orangutan)
Lineage: Eukaryota; Metazoa; Chordata; Mammalia; Primates; Hominidae
Source: RNAcentral
GGGGGAAGCUGUGGCCAGUCAAUAUUGAGCAGAACCAGAAGAUCCUACUGGCAGAAGAGUCCCUAGACCUUCCAAAGACCAGGUUUCUGUCCUCUGAUUGAAAAUGUGAGUGGACAACUGUGCUCAGUGUGCAUCAGACUGAGGAGUGUGUCCUAACCUAAAAAGCUGUUUUAACCCAAAACUCAUAACCACAAAUCCAACACUUAGUGAUAUUACUGGGCUCGACUGCAUUCAUUAGACACAAGUAAGACAGUACCCAGAAUAUAAAAACUCUCCAUCAGGUUUGUAGAAUGAAUGAAUGAGCGAAUGAAUAAAUGAGUGAACAAGCCAACAAAUGGAGAGCAUGGAUAAAAUUCAUCUACUCAGAAAAGGACGGCACACUAUGAUUCUGUUGAUAUGAGAGGUCCUGCAUAGGCCAAUAUAGAGACACAAAGUAUAUUAGAGGUGAUUGGGGCUGGGGUGGGGAUGGGGAUUGACUGUUCUUACAAGAUUUCUUUGGGGAGUGAUGAAAAUGGUGUGAUAUUAGAUCAUGGUGAUGGUUGCAUAACUCUAAAUACGCUAAAAUCAUUGAAUUGUCUAUUUCAUAUGGGUGAAUUUUAUGGUAUAUCUCAAUAAAGCAGUUUUUAAAAAGUUUUCAGAAACUUCCAAAGACCA